This 365-nucleotide ribosomal RNA is filed under the name Staphylococcus epidermidis. Its description in RNAcentral is "bacterial LSU rRNA". It matches the Rfam family "Bacterial large subunit ribosomal RNA", at positions 2329 to 2693 of the family's 2925-position model. The record is from RNAcentral. Lineage: Bacteria; Bacillati; Bacillota; Bacilli; Caryophanales; Staphylococcaceae.
GGUUGGAAAUCAUUCAUAGAGUGUAAAGGCAUAAGGGAGCUUGACUGCGAGACCUACAAGUCGAGCAGGGUCGAAAGACGGACUUAGUGAUCCGGUGGUUCCGCAUGGAAGGGCCAUCGCUCAACGGAUAAAAGCUACCCCGGGGAUAACAGGCUUAUCUCCCCCAAGAGUUCACAUCGACGGGGAGGUUUGGCACCUCGAUGUCGGCUCAUCGCAUCCUGGGGCUGUAGUCGGUCCCAAGGGUUGGGCUGUUCGCCCAUUAAAGCGGUACGCUAGCUGGGUUCAGAACGUCGUGAGACAGUUCGGUCCCUAUCCGUCGUGGGCGUAGGAAAUUUGAGAGGAGCUGUCCUUAGUACGAGAGGACC